UAGGGCACUCCCUUGCAUAGUGCUGGGCACUGCCGCAUAUGCGACAGGUGUUGUUGAGGCGGUAGCAGGGUCGGUCCCCAUGAUCCCUGCCGCAGUACUGGCAGAUCUUCCCACGUGCUGCCCCCGUAGCCUGAGGAGGGGCCUGGACGGCGGGUCUGGGCCUCUUACUGGGUUGGACAGGCAUGGUAGGUGCUGGCCUGCGGAGC
This 206-nucleotide long non-coding RNA is filed under the name Carica papaya (papaya). RNAcentral's name for it is "long non-coding RNA (CPAP_LNC008623)". The record is from RNAcentral. Lineage: Eukaryota; Viridiplantae; Streptophyta; Magnoliopsida; Brassicales; Caricaceae.